RNAcentral lists this ribosomal RNA (320 nucleotides) under uncultured eukaryote. RNAcentral's name for it is "partial 18S ribosomal RNA". It matches the Rfam family "Eukaryotic small subunit ribosomal RNA", at positions 1470 to 1796 of the family's 1831-position model. The record is from RNAcentral.
CCCCUAGAUGUUCUGGGCCGCACGCGCGCUACACUGAACAGUUCAACAAGUCUUAACCUUGGCCGAUAGGUCUGGGUAAUCUUUGAACGCUGUUCGUGAUUGGGAUAGACCUUUGCAAUUAUGGGUCUUCAACGAGGAAUUCCUAGUAAACGCAAGUCAUCAGCUUGCAUUGAUUACGUCCCUGCCCUUUGUACACACCGGCCGUCGCACCUACCGAUUGAAUGGUCCGGUGAAAUCUCGGGACGGCGGCUUGGUCGCUUGCGUCCGACUGCUGAAACUUGAUUAAACCAUAUCAUUUAGAGGAAGGUGAAGUCGUAACA